GAUGAACGCUGGCGGCGUGCCUAAUACAUGCAAGUCGAGCGAACAGACCAGGAGUUUGCUCCUCUGACGUUAUCGGCGGACGGGUGAUUAACACGUGGAUAACCUACCUAUAAGACUGGGAUAACUUCGGGAAACCGGAGCUAAUACCGGAUAAUAUAUUGACCCUCAUGGUUCAAUAGUGAAAGACGGUUUUGCUGUCACUUAUAGAUGGAUCCGCGCCGCAUUAGCUAGUUGGUAAGGUAACGGCUUACCAAGGCUACGAUGCGUAGCCGACCUGAGAGCGAGGUCGACCACACGGGAACUGAGACACGUUCCAGACUCCUACGGUGGGCCGCAGUAGGGAAUCUUCCGGGAUGGGCGAGAGCCUGACGGAGCAACGCGGCGUAAGGGAUGACGGUGUUCGGAUCGGAAAACUCUGUUAGUAGGAGGAAACAAAUGUGUAAGUAACUAUGCACGUCUUGACGGUACCUAAUCAGAAAGCCACGGCUAACUACGUG
This 497-nucleotide ribosomal RNA is filed under the name uncultured bacterium. Its description in RNAcentral is "partial 16S ribosomal RNA". It matches the Rfam family "Bacterial small subunit ribosomal RNA", at positions 28 to 507 of the family's 1533-position model. The record is from RNAcentral.